This 433-nucleotide ribosomal RNA is filed under the name uncultured bacterium. RNAcentral's name for it is "partial 16S ribosomal RNA". It matches the Rfam family "Bacterial small subunit ribosomal RNA", at positions 29 to 507 of the family's 1533-position model. The record is from RNAcentral.
AACGAACGCUGGCGGCAGGCUUAACACAUGCAAGUCGAGCGCAUCCUUCGGGGUGAGCGGCGGACGGGUGAGUAACGCGUGGGAACGUGCCCUCUUCUACGGAAUAGCCUCGGGAAACUGAGAGUAAUGCCGUAUACGCCCGCAAGGGGAAAGAUUUAUCGGAGGAGGAUCGGCCCGCGUUGGAUUAGGUAGUUGGUGGGGUAACGGCCUACCAAGCCGACGAUCCAUAGCUGGUUUGAGAGGAUGAUCAGCCACACUGGGACUGAGACACGGCCCAGACUCCUACGGGAGGCAGCAGUGGGGAAUCUUGGACAAUGGGGGCAAACCUGAUCCAGCCAUGCCGCGUGAGCGAUGAAGGCCUUAGGGUUGUAAAGAUCUUUCAGCUGGGAAGAUAAUGACGGUACCAGCAGAAGAAGCCCCGGCUAACUCCGUG